AUUGAACGCUGGCGGCAGGCCUAACACAUGCAAGUCGAACGUGUGGCGGACUGGUGAGUAUUGUGUGGGAAUUUGCCUGAUGGAGGGGGACAACUACUGGAAACGGUAGCUGAUACCGCAUACCAUCAGCUUUGCCCAGAUGGGAUGAGCUAGGUGGUGGGGUAACGGCGCACCAAGGCGACGUUCCCUAGCUGGUCUGAGAGGGUGACCAGCCCGACUGGCACGGAUGCACGGUCCAAACUCCUACGGGAGACAGCGCUGGGGAAUAUUGCACGAUGGGCGCAAGCCUGAUGCAUCCAGGCCGCGUGUAUGACGAAGCCACGCGGGUUGUAAAGUACUUUCGGCUGGGAGGCGGUACCCGCAGAAGAAGCACCGGCUAACUCCGUGCCAGCAGCCGCGGUAAUAC
RNAcentral lists this ribosomal RNA (406 nucleotides) under uncultured bacterium. RNAcentral's name for it is "partial 16S ribosomal RNA". It matches the Rfam family "Bacterial small subunit ribosomal RNA", at positions 30 to 526 of the family's 1533-position model. The record is from RNAcentral.